GGGGAAGAUCUCUUUCUGGAGAUUUCCCCUCUGUGGAAUCUUUCUUGCAAAUCUAGGUCUUUGGAUACAGGUGGUGAUCUGCUGCCAGAAUAAAUAAAUUUCAGGAAGUGCCAAGGCCGCUCAGCCAUUUACUGUGAUUUCACUCCUACAUAAGGAAUUUGUAUCACCAACUUUCUUCAAGUAUCUCCUCUAUUAUAACAUUACUAAAUUGAAGUUUUAGGAGUUGAGGCAAAAUGUAUUGGCUCCCAAGUCUUUCACAGGAGCGAGACGUUGUUUAUUCUACUAUCAGUAAAUUCAUUACGAAGAAGCAUGAAUGCACAAAAUUUCCUGAGGAUUUCAGUGAGCACUCCACAGCCCUUUGAUAGACUUACCACUGUUCCAGAGAAACCUGUAGAACCUUACUAAGAAAAUGAACCCUUUGAGUAAGGAGCUGCAAGAAAAAAUGCUCAAAACUACUGCUAUACACAAGUACUUCUACUAAUCUAGCAAUUUUUAAUAUCACAGUUAGGCUUCUAAGGACCAAUCCUAAACACCAUGAAGUCAAUAGGAAAACUGCUUAUGGCUUCCAGAGCCUUAGGAUCAGCACUUCAGUCUGUUGGGUUUUGUCUGGUUUAUUUUUAUUUUUUUUUAUUGUAUGAAAUGUGGAUAAGAAGAUCAUUGAAUGGCAAGGAUUGGAGUUUCCUAAUGUGCUCAUUCAGCAGACAAGAAGCACUGGAAACUGGAACUUCUGAGUGCUGCUGCUGCACUUUGCCCUUGACUGGCUGUAUGACUUAUGCACACUGGCUCCUGCUGGAAACUCCAGCUUUCUUGUUGGUACAAUAGAGUGCAGAAUAAUUCUGCUGAAGACAACACUAUUACUGCAGGAGAAAAGCUAAGCUUUGCUCAUGAAGAGCAGAGAUCUUUCCUAUUUUCCUUUAUGGAAACUGUCAUUCACAAGAAGACAUAGGGAGGAAAAAGGAGCAACGUGAAGGAAAAAAGAAGGAAUAGGAGUGGGAGGCUGCCAUGGUGAUGACCAACCUUCCACUGCUUUAAGUCCUUAAGUGUAUUACAUUCUAUAUUCUGGAUUUAAUUAUGGUGCUGGAGUGUAAUGCUAAUAACACUGCACAGUUUUAUCUUCUCUCUCUGUCUGAUGUACAUCUAAUUAAAAUAGGCAUUAAUUAAUAUGUGCUGAACUUUAGGUGAUUAAAGUAUUAUAAAUAAUAUAUUAUAAUUUAUAGCACAUGGAUCAUUGUAAAACAGUUUAAAUUAAUGUCACCAACUAAGAUGUGACAGUUCUUGAGUGCAUUGCCUGGCAGGGAGCAGAGCAGUGUAAAGUGACCGCCUACAUCUCCAUGUCCCAGCACCCAGUAAGAGGUCAGUUUAGUUCCAGUCCCCAGGCUUCCUUCUCAAGCCAUCUGCUCUAUAUAAGAUGGGCUUUUAGUUCUCUAAUUAUCCCACAUCAUCAAUGUCCUUUUGUUGUGAGUGAUACAGGGGAGAUAAUUAAUUGAAUAUUGAAAUAAAAAUUAUUAACUUUCA
Lagopus muta (rock ptarmigan) is the source of this 1515-nucleotide long non-coding RNA. RefSeq lists it as uncharacterized. The transcript has 5 exons. The record is from RefSeq and is a predicted model, not a curated record. NCBI's taxonomy places the organism in Eukaryota, Metazoa, Chordata, Aves, Galliformes, Phasianidae.